Long non-coding RNA from Phyllopteryx taeniolatus (common seadragon), 550 nucleotides. RefSeq lists it as uncharacterized. Lineage: Eukaryota; Metazoa; Chordata; Actinopteri; Syngnathiformes; Syngnathidae. The record is from RefSeq and is a predicted model, not a curated record. The transcript has 2 exons.
CCAGCGUGGUCGUCUCAGAUGUUGUCGAGCAUUUCCUCACAAAAAAGAAAGAAAGAAAGAAAGAAAGAAAGAGAGAAUAGAAAUGAAAAAGGAAGCCAGCAGAUGCAGGAAAAAUGAAGCCUUGGUCCGCUCAUCCAGAUGUUACAUCAUGCCAGAAACGAGGGCAAGCAGAGCAGCACAGAGGAGGAAAAGUGAAGAAAUGUCGCUGAGUGCUGAGUGGAAGACUAGUGAUUUUGUUGCGAUGCUCAUCAAAAGAACAACAAGUCCCAGUCUGCCUCUCAGCACAAGCCGAAACUCUUCGGUCUCAACUCACAACCAGCUCACAUUUCACGCCUCGUCGCCUAUUUAUUUAUCACGCCCCCUUUUUUACGCUCUUUUACCCACCGUGUGGGUCUUAAUGGCUGGAAACGAUUGACUGCAUCAUCCAAACUCGAAUAGAUCGAUGCUAUUUUAAGACACUGCAGUUUGCACUCAAGUCCCAAUAAUAUGUCACAUAUGUGUUUAUAUUACUACUCUAUUAUUGACCUUAAUAAAGCCCUGUUCAAAUCUC